UACGGGGGGAGCAAGCGUUGUUUGGAUUUACUGGGCGUAAAGGGCGCGUAGGCGGCCACUGCAAGUCGGUUGUGAAAUCUCCGGGCUUAACCCGGAAAGGUCAAUCGAUACUGCAGGGCUAGAGUGCAGAAGGGGCAACUGGAAUUCUCGGUGUAGCGGUGAAAUGCGUAGAUAUCGAGAGGAACACCUGCGGCGAAGGCGGGUUGCUGGGCUGACACUGACGCUGAAGCGCGAAAGCUAGGGGAGCAAACGGG
This 254-nucleotide ribosomal RNA is filed under the name uncultured bacterium. RNAcentral's name for it is "partial 16S ribosomal RNA". It matches the Rfam family "Bacterial small subunit ribosomal RNA", at positions 524 to 776 of the family's 1533-position model. The record is from RNAcentral.